This 847-nucleotide long non-coding RNA is filed under the name Brachypodium distachyon (stiff brome). Its description in RNAcentral is "long non-coding RNA (BDIS_LNC001170)". The record is from RNAcentral. Lineage: Eukaryota; Viridiplantae; Streptophyta; Magnoliopsida; Poales; Poaceae.
GGUUUACAUGAUUUGAGAUUUGGUGUUAUAAAGCUAUUAGGGAAUUUUAUUGAACCGUAUAAUUAUUAUGAGAUCUUCUUUGGAGUUCAACCCAAUGGGGUAUUUAGCUAAAGAAGGAUUUUAGUGCAAAAUAUGCCAACCCAAUAUGUUUAUUGGAGUUUAAACUAAUUUAUGAAACAAAGGUUUCAUAAUAGAUUUCAAAACCUAUUUUACGUAUUACUUAUAAAGCUCUAAUGACAUUUAUAUAAGCAAAAGUAUUUUUACUUAUUUUAUUUUUGAAAGGAUUCAAGUCCCAAAAGCUCACACUUUGGAGAAUUUGAAUUUAUAAAUUUUCUGGAAUUUAUUUGGACUUAUUUGGAGUUAGGAAUCAAAGGUUAUUAAUAAAAAGAAAGAAAUGGAAAAAAAAAGAAAAAAAAGAAAAAGAAUGGACCGACCCAACUGGGCCGGCCCAUCUCCACCGAACGCCCCAGCCAGCCAGGAGCACGAGCUCGUGCUUCCUCCUCCUCUGCACGUAAGAAAUCCUUUCUUUCCAUAUUUUCUUUCUUCAAUUUUUUUCCUUUCCGCACGUCUCUCUCCAAAAGGAAACCACCCAAUCAAUCCUCACCAUCCCGGGAAUCCAUUCAGGAAAUCAAUUUGAAGUUUCCUCUAAUUAUCGCAGUUUCCAAAAUAGGUGCCCCGAAUGUCGGCCGUCGACAUCCACGCCCGAUCUCCCUCCUCGCCCACUAUAAAAGGAUUCCACGCGCGUCACUUUGAGCCUUUGCCUCUCCUCUCCCAUUCCCAUGUAGAAAGUUUGGCCUCAAAACCUCUGUACAGCCGGCUAUGUCGACGUCUUCCUCCGCCGGUCACC